Molecule: ribosomal RNA, 253 nt
Filed under: uncultured bacterium
Lineage: Bacteria
Description: partial 16S ribosomal RNA
Rfam family: Bacterial small subunit ribosomal RNA
Source: RNAcentral
UACAGAGGUCUCAAGCGUUGUUCGGAUUCAUUGGGCGUAAAGGGUGCGUAGGCGGCGCGGUAAGUCGGGUGUGAAAUCUCGGGGCUUAACUCCGAAACUGCAUUCGAUACUGCCGUGCUUGAGGACUGGAGAGGAGACUGGAAUUUACGGUGUAGCGGUGAAAUGCGUAGAUAUCGUAAGGAAGACCAGUGGCGAAGGCGGGUCUCUGGGACGGUACUGACGCUGAGACGCGAAAGCGUGGGGAGCAAACAGG